RNAcentral lists this ribosomal RNA (245 nucleotides) under uncultured Parvibaculum sp. RNAcentral's name for it is "partial 16S ribosomal RNA". It matches the Rfam family "Bacterial small subunit ribosomal RNA", at positions 524 to 768 of the family's 1533-position model. Lineage: Bacteria; Pseudomonadati; Pseudomonadota; Alphaproteobacteria; Hyphomicrobiales; Parvibaculaceae. The record is from RNAcentral.
UACGGAGGGGGCUAGCGUUGUUCGGAAUUACUGGGCGUAAAGCGCACGUAGGCGGCUAUCCAAGUUGGGGGUGAAAUCCCUGGGCUUAACCCAGGAACUGCCUUCAAAACUGGAUGGCUAGAGUCCGAGAGAGGUGAGUGGAAUUUCCAGUGUAGAGGUGAAAUUCGUAGAUAUUGGAAAGAACACCAGUGGCGAAGGCGGCUCACUGGCUCGGUACUGACGCUGAGGUGCGACAGCGUGGGGAG